ACCUUCUGUGGUGUAGUUGGUAGCGCUUUGGCAUUGUAAUUAUAUGUCCCAGGUUCAAGUCCCGGUCGGGGUA
Molecule: non-coding RNA, 73 nt
Organism: Halocaridina rubra (Hawaiian volcano shrimp)
Lineage: Eukaryota; Metazoa; Arthropoda; Malacostraca; Decapoda; Atyidae
Source: the annotation of a GenBank genome assembly